GGCGGCGUACCCAAGUGGACUAAGGGGACGGAUUGCAAAUCCGUUAUUCAUCGGUUCGAAUCCGAUCGCCGCCU
Molecule: transfer RNA, 74 nt
Filed under: Phycisphaerales bacterium
Lineage: Bacteria; Pseudomonadati; Planctomycetota; Phycisphaerae; Phycisphaerales
Description: tRNA-Cys
Rfam family: tRNA
About the family: Transfer RNA (tRNA) molecules are approximately 80 nucleotides in length. Their secondary structure includes four short double-helical elements and three loops (D, anti-codon, and T loops).
Source: RNAcentral